This is a long non-coding RNA of Oncorhynchus tshawytscha (Chinook salmon), 1513 nucleotides long. NCBI's taxonomy places the organism in Eukaryota, Metazoa, Chordata, Actinopteri, Salmoniformes, Salmonidae. The record is from Ensembl.
AUUCAUCCUAAUUCUAUUCAUUCUAAUUCUAUUCAUCCUAAUUCUAUUCAUUCUAAUUCUAUGGUUCACGCCAUCUACAUUCUUAUCAGAGAAAUCCCAACAUCACUUGAUGAAACAAAACAGGUUAAUACUAUAAUACUUACUAAACACACAUAAAUACUACAAUAUCUACUAAACACAGAAAUACUAUAAUGCCUACUAAACACACAGAAACAAGGAAACGUAAAGCUCUUGACCUCAUGGCUGGUGUUUUUGUGAUUUUGUGUUUUUCUUGUCUCAGAUACUGUGUUAGUGUACCUUAAUGAUACCUAUACCUUGCUGCUAUGACAUUUUCUCUAUGUAAACCUCUUUAUUUGCUGAUGCAAAAUUUCCGUGAACAUUGGUGUAUGCUUGACACAAGCCAAGCCAAGAGUUUUUGAAAAAGUAAUCAUCAACCAUCCUCCACAGAUCAGUAGAUACAUAAUGCAUUCUAUAUAGUAGUGGGAGAGAUUAAGAAAUUCCUGAUGUUACGGCCACUCACAGUGUUUAAAAAUCAAAGUCAAUUUGCUUGAUUGAGUAGAGAAAGUUAACAUAUUCCUGUGUUAGAGAUUUCACUCUGAAGUAGAAUAAAACAUUUUUUAAAUUUAAUUUGGCAAAUUAGUAAACCUUGCCAGAGUGUACUGUUCUUGAGACAGGCGUACGCAAAGGUAAAUUCUCUUGAUUUAGAGGGGGUAAACAUACUGUCAUUAUAACACCAAAUGACCAAACAUUUAUUAGAAUUCAUGGACUUAAUCCAUAUGACCAGCUAUGUACUUAAUGCUCCAAUCUCCACUUCUUAAUGCCUUUGUGCAUUUAACAAAUGGAGCAAAAUGUCAAGUGUCAUGACUGGUAAUGUCAAGUGUCAUGAUGACACACUUAUGUAGGCAUAAUGACACAGUUAUGUAGGCAUAAUGACACAGUUAUGUAGGCAUAAUGACACAGUUAUGUAUACGCCUUCAACUAAAGUAUUCCCUAUAUUUAACCAAGUCAUUUGUUAAAUUUUUUUGUAAGAAGAAGAAAAACUGUUCGUGUCAUAACGCCACCUGGGGAUAGUAACUGAACCACAUAGCUCUGACAACCUAAGUGAAGAAAUCAGUCAUAGAUGUCAAAUGAAGGGCUGGUCUUUUAAAAAACAACUGUGUUUUCUGUUUUGAGGUAAUAACGCUUCAGAUCAGUAAGCUUGAAAUCUUUGCUUAUGUACAGUAUGUUGGUACACAAUAAAACAUUUUUAUGCUGUAUUCUGUAGCCCUCUUAUAGCAGAUCAGUGAAAGGCUGAAACACAUCAGAGCUACUUGCAGUUUUCAAGAGAGACGCAAGGUCGAAACACUAAUAAUUGAUGAUGUGCACAGUGUAAAACGCUAGUGGCGACGCAGGGUCUAUAAGAAAUAUACAUGUAUACAGUAUUGCACAAAGUCUGCACAACUCAAUGUAUGUCUUUUAAGAAUGUACAUUUUAAUUCUGAUUUGUUUAUUAAUAGACUGGAGCAACAUCUGCC